Molecule: ribosomal RNA, 253 nt
Filed under: uncultured bacterium
Lineage: Bacteria
Description: partial 16S ribosomal RNA
Rfam family: Bacterial small subunit ribosomal RNA
Source: RNAcentral
UACGUAGGGCGCGAGCGUUGUCCGGAUUUAUUGGGCGUAAAGAGCUCGUAGGCGGCUCGUUGCGUCAACCGUGAAAACCCGGGGCUUAACUUCGGGCUUGCGGUUGAUACGGGCGGGCUGGAGUUCGGUAGGGGAGACUGGAAUUCCUGGUGUAGCGGUGAAAUGCGCAGAUAUCAGGAGGAACACCAAUAGCGAAGGCAGCUCGCUGGGACGUUACUGACACUGAGGCGCGAAAGCGUGGGGAGCGAACAGG